Molecule: ribosomal RNA, 497 nt
Filed under: uncultured bacterium
Lineage: Bacteria
Description: partial 16S ribosomal RNA
Rfam family: Bacterial small subunit ribosomal RNA
Source: RNAcentral
GAUGAACGCUGGCGGCGUGCCUAAUACAUGCAAGUCGAGCGAACGGACGAGAAGCUUGCUUCUCUGAUGUUAGCGGCGGACGGGUGAGUAACACGUGGAUAACCUACCUAUAAGACUGGGAUAACUUCGGGAAACCGGAGCUAAUACCGGAUAAUAUUUUGAACCGCAUGGUUCAAAAGUGAAAGACGGCCUUGCUGUCACUUAUAGAUGGAUCCGCGCUGCAUUAGCUAGUUGGUAAGGUAACGGCUUACCAAGGCAACGAUGCAUAGCCGACCUGAGAGGGUGAUCGGCCACACUGGAACUGAGACACGGUACAGACUCCUACGGGAGGCAGCAGUAGGGAAUCUUCCGCAAUGGGCGAAAGCCUGACGGAGCAACGCCGCGUGAGUGAUGAAGGUCUUCGGAUCGUAAAACUCUGUUAUUAGGGAAGAACAUAUGUGUAAGUAACUGUGCACAUCUUGACGGUACCUAAUCAGAAAGCCACGGCUAACUACGUG